AGCUGUGGAUUCAGAAGGCAGGACUCCAGGAUCCCCUCCACCAUGGCCUGGUCCCCUCUCCUGCUCACCCUCCUGGCUCACUGCACAGGAUCCUGGGCCCAGUCUGUGCUGACUCAGCCGUCCUCAGUGUCUGGGACCCCGGGCCAGAGGGUCACCCUCUCCUGCACUGGAAGCAGCAGCAACAUCGGUGGCAAUUCUGUGUACUGGUACCAACAGCUCGCAGGAAAGGCCCCCAGACUCCUCAUCUAUGGUAACAGCAAUCGGCCCUCAGGGAUUGCAGAUCGAUUCUCGGGCUCCAAGUCUGGAACGUCGGCCUCCCUGACCAUCUCAGGGCUCCAGGCUGAGGACGAGGCUGUCUAUCACUGUCUCUCCUAUGAUGACAGCCUCAAAGCUCACACAGUGCUUCAAGCCAGGGGGGAAGUGCGACAAGAACCCUCGGUCUGCAGCCCUGGGGCUUCUCUGCUCAGCUCCCACCGGGGCCAAGUCAGCUGCUCCUUUGUUUGUUUGGUCUAA
Molecule: non-coding RNA, 513 nt
Organism: Tupaia belangeri chinensis (Chinese tree shrew)
Lineage: Eukaryota; Metazoa; Chordata; Mammalia; Scandentia; Tupaiidae
Source: the annotation of a RefSeq genome assembly